This 480-nucleotide ribosomal RNA is filed under the name uncultured Alphaproteobacteria bacterium. RNAcentral's name for it is "bacterial SSU rRNA". It matches the Rfam family "Bacterial small subunit ribosomal RNA", at positions 378 to 875 of the family's 1533-position model. Lineage: Bacteria; Pseudomonadati; Pseudomonadota; Alphaproteobacteria. The record is from RNAcentral.
CAACCCUGAUCCAGCCAUGCCGCGUGCGUGAAGAAGCCCUUAGGGUUGUAAAGCGCUUUCACUGGUGAAGAUGAUGACGGUAGCCAGAGAAGAAGCCCCGGCUAACUCCGUGCCAGCAGCCGCGGUAAUACGGAGGGGGCAAGCGUUGUUCGGAAUUACUGGGCGUAAAGGGCGCGUAGGCGGAAUAUCAAGUUAGGGGUGAAAGGCCUGGGCUCAACCUAGGAACGGCCUCUAAAACUGAUAAUCUAGAGUCCGGAAGAGGAUGGCGGAAUUCCUAGUGUAGAGGUGAAAUUCGUAGAUAUUAGGAAGAACACCGGUGGCGAAGGCGGCCAUCUGGUCCGGUACUGACGCUGAGGCGCGAAAGCGUGGGGAGCAAACAGGAUUAGAUACCCUGGUAGUCCACGCCGUAAACGAUGUGUGCUAGCCGUUGGGGCACUUAGUGUCUCGGUGGCGCAGCUAACGCGUUAAGCACACCGCCUG